Nylanderia fulva is the source of this 6744-nucleotide non-coding RNA. The record is from RefSeq and is a predicted model, not a curated record. Lineage: Eukaryota; Metazoa; Arthropoda; Insecta; Hymenoptera; Formicidae.
UGUCUUAUUUAAUAAAAGUAAUAAAUGGUAUGAAAUAAUAAAAUAUCGAACAUAGAAAACUUACUUUCCAAACAACUCGCCAUCCCGAAUCGAUUCAGGAAGUUUCUUAUUCAACGUCUCCGGGAGAAGAAGGGACAAUGAUCCACCGAAUAAAGCGCACGAUCCGAAAAUAACGAGCGGCAACGGCGUCCAUAUUUCCGACUGGAAGCAUGAAUUGUUUCAUCAGAAUUUUAUAUAAUUUAUAAUAAUAAUUACUAAUCAGCAAUAUGUCAACAUACUUCAACUUCAUCUUUUUACGCUUUUUUCAGAUAUCAAGAAAAGCGAUGAAAAGUAAGAACGUACCAAGUGAUUGACAUAUGGCGCGAUAACUCCGCCAAUUCGAGCAAAAGUGGAACUCGCACCCAGUCCGACGUUUCGAAUAACAGUCGGAAAUUGUUCUGCAGUAAACACAUAAAUUGCACCGUAGGACGAUGUGAUAGCAAGUUUUCCUAUCAUCGCCAAGCAAACGAUUAGCCACGACAUAUCUAAAAUAAAACAUAAACUCGUUUAUAAUUAUAGGCUAAACAUUUAUAACUUUGUCGUUUUAAAUGUUCGUAUGACUAAAACGAUUGUUAUAUGAAAUUUUGCGAUGUCAUUAUCUUAAAUAAAAUAUUGUAUAUUAUUCACCGGGAGGGACAAAUAACGUAGCAAGUAAUGCUAAUCCGGACAACAUCAUACAGCCGCAAAGGAUGAUUUUUCUGCCCCAUCGAUUCAGGGUGAAGAUGAGGAAUGUGUACGCCGGUACUUCCACUACUCCGGAUAUUACAAAAUUAACGUAGUCGUUACCGCCGAGAUUGGAUGCGUGCCAAGAAAGUCCGUAGUACGUUCCACUGUUGACCAGCCUAAAUGUGUAAGUGAGAAAAUUAAACUUGGUACAAAAUUAUCAAACAUAAUAAAAUAAAAAACAUAUAACCGAGAUAAAACAACUAUAGUAUAUACCAAUUGAAAAAUAAGAGGAUACUCUUUCGCCUCAAGUUCGGAUAACGAAACAGGUCAAAGAGCGAAGGUUUUCUCGUAUCUGGUGUACUAUCCUCACUGUUAUUAUUAAGAAGUGUUUCUAGAGCUUCAUUCGGCAUCUCCACGCCAUUCUCCAAAGAAGCGCGUUGCAGCAAAUCUUUCGCUUCCUGGAGGCGGCCUUUUGUUAGGAGCCAUCGCGCGGAUUCAGGAAUAAACCUAAAUUGGAUCACCGUGUGAGUUGUAAUAUCUGAUUGGAAUUAUAUUCAUUAUGUAGAAUAUAUAUAUAUAUAUAUAUAUAUUAUUUGUCUCGUACCACCAAUAAACUAGAAACGCGAUGCUCGGUACCGUAAGAGCUACCUGCAGCAUUCUCCAAUUGGUAAUAUUAUACGCAAAAGCGGCCGUGAGUAUGUAUCCGACAGUGAAAAAUAAUUGAACGCCGACUCCGGCUACUAAUCGCUUUUUCGGUCCAACCAUCUCCAAAGCUGGAAGAGAAAGAGUGACAAUAUAAUUGAAUGUAAUUACCUAUGACAUAAGCUACUAGGAACACCCCACUGGUGGUUGAACCGACAAUUAGCCUGAAGAUUACGUAGGAAUAAAAUUCGGGUGCUACAGCGACUAGUAUACCGCCGACCAGCUGUAUGACUAAAGACAGGAAGAAAAUUGGUCUACGGCCAUAUUUAUCGGAUAAACCGCCGAAUAUCAUCGAGCCAAGCAUGACUCCUACCAUGAACAACGCAUCCCCCGUUGCUCUCAGCCACGCCCUGUCGCAGACCAAACCCCACUGCACAAAAAAAAACGGAUAUUUUUAUGAGACAUAUCUUAUUUACAACAAUUGCCGAUAGAAAAAUCGAUAAGAGAACCCUAUUUUGCGAUGAGAGAACGGAACAAUCUUAUACCUCAGAAGUGGUUGUACUUUUGUACACGCUUCUAUCGUACACAUACUGCUUGCAACGGCUGGUCCCUCCUCCUCUGGCGUCGUCACCAAUUACUUUUUCAACGAUCGUCCCGUUCGCGGCGCCGAUCACGUCGCGUUUCAGACACUGAGACCACCCUUCAAGUUCGUUGUCCCACGGAUAGCUCGCGUUCAAUAUAUCCUGGCUCAGAUGGAACGUGGCGUUCUCCGCAUACUCGUUUGGAAGUAAACAUCUGAAACAAGAUAACGAUUCGAUUUACCGUAAGUACAUAUGUUAACAUCGUAAUCUAUCUUUGAUAAUUAUUACGUUUCUCAAAUUGCAUACCUGGUAUUCAUUUUGGCACCGAGGAAUACACCGGCUAAUUUGUGAAAGGCACACGAUAUCACCGGAAGACAAAGCAGAAGGUAGACUCUGCGUUGAUAGCGGCCAAAUUCGCCCAUAUGAAGGACAACGUCGUCGUAUGCCAUUUUUCCGAGAGAUUUUGUAAACAUGAUUUCAUCUCCGGAGGAACACGUACAAGACUUCAUUAGGACAUUCCCAUACGCCUUUUGAAGAAUGCUUCUGAUUUCUCAGCAUUCAAUCCAGAGAUGAUCGCUUAUCAGCCUUCCAAAUGCAUCGAUUUCUCGGCAGAGAACAGCGAUAACUGAAAAAAAAUUACGCGAAGGAAUGCAGUUGGAGUCGCCUGGAUGGAUAAGAGGUGAUUAUUCGCACGCGACAGAAGUGAUUGUUAGACGCAUAUGUUGCCGGUCCAGCCGUCACCGUUGGAGGCCGGCAUCGCGGCCCGAGAAGGAACCCCGAAGGCUAUUUAUAGUAGGGAGCGGCUUCUAGUUCCCACCGCGUGAAAAAUCGCAACUGGUUUCUUGCUCGCUUCUUGUUUGAGAAGCAGGAUAGAUGGAGGAGAGGAAAAGGCGAAAGAGAGACGGAAAGAAUGGCUGGCGGGCAUCUCAAGUAUAAGUCGCCGGCGCUCAACAUUAGCGGUUCCCUUUUGCGAAUAAUUCGAGGGAACGUCACCGCGAGAGUUUAUUAAGACGCCAAGUCCACAGUGGACACAGCCGAUGAAGGGGAUGAAGGGGAUGAAGGGAGUUACUCGGGGAAAGUGGCAGAAGGAAGAUGAAAAAGACAGGCAUUGUCUGAACAUGCCGAAUGGCAAGGCGAGAUGAAAAAGUCCAAAUUGUUCCUCUUUUUUCCGCAAGCACGAUGGAUAGAAUUAAACGAAUCAUCGUCACAAGUGCGCUUGAGAAAUAUGCCUAGUCUGGAAGAUGAGAGAUCGAUAAAGUGCACGUCCAUAGGAAAAUGGAUUAAGAAUGCGCGAGCUACAGACGCUUAUAAUGUUAAAAAGACCACUGUCUGUGUAUAUACAUAUACAAGGACAUAUGCAUGUUGUUUUACCUCGGUCUCGCUUCGUCUGUAAUAAUCUCGCCACGAAGACAUAAGGAAAGUAAUUAAUCGGUCGUUGAACAUGUCAGUCAAGACAAAGCGAAGAGAUUCUUUGAACCGAUUCGAAUCCAAGGAAUCCAAUGAGGAAACAACCCGGCGGAGUAUCAUUCAAGUUCAACGAGCGACGAGGGACCACGAGACGCCCGUCGUGAAUCACGUGAGCGGCGCGAUUCGAAUCGUUAAAUACGUGGUCGACUGAACACAAUCGGCGGGACGCUACGACAGAGGCCGCAUUGUAAUUCGAUUGAGAAAAAUGAGGAUGACUAAUGUAAUUACCCGUUCUAAGUGCCGCACGUUCCCACGGUCGAUCACGGAUGAAUCUGUAAACCGUGUGAUUUUAUCAACGGCCCGCCGUACGUUCCAGCUUCCCGUAUACGAGGCACACAACGAGGACCCGGUGCACGCGUUAUGCCGGCCGGCCGCUGAUGGUCGCUCCCGCCGUAGCACUGCCGAUCGAUAAGUUUCGUCGAAGGAAAGGCGUCGCUAUACUAGACGGAAUGAUAUUCACACUCUGCACAUCCGUUCGAUCGAGUCGCGCGUUCACCUUUCUCUCUUGUCAUUAGAAUUGAAUGAGAAUUUGGAGGGGAACGCGUGGGAUUACCGACGCGUAUCGAGCGGACACGUGUACUUCGGUCGCGAGGUUCGCGCUAGCUAGCACCAGCUAGCAGGAUGUCGAGGCACGCGACACCGGGGACACGACGUCGUCAGGGAGCUGGAGGAGGGAGGUUCUCUCGGCGCCGGCGCCAGAGUCGCGUUCGAAAACCGAAGCAGCCUCGCGCAUUCGCCACCGGGUGGCAGGUUCGCGUUAUCGAUAACGCCUCUCUCUCUUCUCUCCUUUCAAAUAUGAUGAUGAUAUAAUUGUCAUUUCCUUCGGCUCCCUUUAUCUCUCGAUUCCUUUCAAUUAAGGUCUUUCGGCGAAUCCUUCGAUGAAUCCAUCCGAGGCUCAACCUUCAAUCUGUUUAUACGUCUAUAUAAUUUACGUUCGCGUUCUUUCAUAUCGUAAAUGCCUUUUCUGUUACACAUUUGAUUGAGUCCACAUAUGCUUCGCACAUAGAACGAUAAACGUUGCUCGAGUUAUUCGCGAUUGGAUUAUGCGAGAUUAAAGAAUUGUAAUUGUAAUUGUGAAUUGCGGCACUUACUACAUGACGCUAUCACCGUUAUAACGCGUGUAUCACGAUUUAUCAUUGCAUCAUACACGUGCCGCUUAUGAGAGAAAUUUGUAUACAAUUUAUAAAUAUAUGCAUGUAUAUAGAGUAAAAAAAGAAUGUAAAACGUUUUUUAAUUUCUAUUUUUUAUAUCGACAACAGUGACUUUAUGCAAUUCGUUGCGUAUAUAUUCCUGUUGCGAUUCGCGAUGAUCAAUUCAAUCUCGUCAAAUUGUUCGAACCGUUUGAUCUAAUUCAUAUCAAUCAAUAGAUUUAUAUAUAGAAUUAUAUCAGCCACGUGUCCAUUCAAAGUACUUAUCAUCAACUUCUAUAUACACGUGUAUAUAUAUAUAUACGUCUGCGAUUAUCACGCGUCAACUGUAUGCAUACAUUUUUGAAAGAAAAAAAAAAGAAACAAACAUGGAUAGUGAUUAUGAAAUUUAUAAUUGUAUACAUAUUUUUGACGCGCCAAUUUUAUAUCGAUGGAAUUGCGAAAGAUCAUGCGACACUUAAAUGAACCGAUUUAACUCUACGAAAAGGAAACCAACUGUCUUUCCUCCAACAUUUAUCAUGAAGAUUUGCGAUAAAGAAAAUUAGUUCGUCGAAAGUUUUCACUGUGCAUGCAGAGACAUAUAUGUACAAUAACUCUUCGUCGUCACAAACUUGUUUAAUAUAAUUUACAAGUAGUGCGAGCACACUUUCGCGAAAGUUUACAAUACCUCCGAAAGCGAUCCGCGUCGGUUUGCAAAACGUUCGCGCGGAUUUAACUGCCGGUGGUGAUACGCGGAUUUGCAAUUUCCAGCUCGUGCAUGUGAAUGCAUAUAUGCCUGUGCAUGAUAGGAAUAUCUAUCAAGGACGCAUGACCCCCUUCCUCUACCCCCUUCCUCAACGGGUACUCGUAAUUUGGUAUAAUUCGUAUAUUACUACCCGUCGUCUCUAUACUCCUUCAAGUCGUCAGACUGAAAGCUUGAUUCCUCGAGAGAGAUCUAUUGUGUUGAGCCGCUAUUCAUCUUCGAUCGACUGAAAGCAUACUUAAUAUUUUAAUAGUUUAUCCGUUGAUGAACGGGGAAUAAGAGAGGCACUUUUUAUUUUAAUAUUUUUAAGGAUGUACAGAAGAUUCAAACAGAGAUGAAAGUAUAUUAACGCUAUUCAUUUUAGAGAAAAUCGUUAUAGUUUAAGUAAUCGCCUAACUUGACACGAAAUGCUCAGAAAUAGAAAAAAUUUCAACAAAUUAUUAUUUUCUUUUAAAUGGUUCAAUGAAUGCUAAUAUAUGUAUAAUUUUGCGACAUUGUUCUUUAAAGUUCCAAUUUACAUAUAUGUGAAAAAUUUGAUGUACAUGGUAUACCAUUUUUUCGAUAUUUUUAAUGUAAUAAUAAUGGAUUAUUAUAUGUAAAACUAGCGGAAAUUUAAAUUGCAAUAACUUUUAAAUGAGUUAGUGAAUUAAAUCCAAAUUUCAACAGUAACUUUAGUUUCAAAGUGAAAGCGCUAUAUAAUUUUUAUGAAGUUUCAAAUGUCUUCCAUACAUCAUUAACAAUAAGAAAUUUGAUAAAAGUUGUUAAUGAUCGAAAGAUAGAAAUUAUAAUUUGAGUUGAAAUAUUUUCUCUAAAAAAACCGCGUUUACAAGCUUUUAAUUUUACAAUUUGAAAUAAUCGAAUGGAAACGUUUCAACACCAGAAUCAUAUCGUAGCUCAAAUUUCCCUCGCAAUUAUCGCCUGUAUUUCGAUCUGCGUAUCAUUCUACAUUUUUACAUUUUUCUCGACAAAUCAACAUAUCUCCUCGAAUAAUAAAAAUAUAAAGAUACGCGUGUAUAGUCACUUCCGGUGAUUUUUAAUCAUUCGGGGUUGCGGGUGAAAAAAAAAUCUUUCGCGCAAGGAAGCAAUAUAACGAUCUUCGUCGAGGAUCAUAGAAUCGCAGUCUCUGAGGCGGGAUAUCGAUUCUCGCCGAAGAGUUCCGAGGCGUGCCGAGCUCGGGAAAGUGACGUACACGAGUGAGAGAGAGUGCACCGAGCGGUGGUGAAGCUGGGUGAAGCUGAUUGUGUGGUCAGUGGUGAUUCACUUGUGUGCGGAUUGACUCUGGGGGAGAGACUCCGAUAGAUCUUGUAAUUGUAAAGCCGUCUCGAAGCGAAGAUCGAUCACCGUGACCUAACCUAGUCUAAUCUUGAAGGCGUAAACUCAUCGUAACUCGGCCACCGAACGCGAGAUUCUAGUUGUAAGGAAUAUCGUCUCGAAUAUCGCACAAGCGAACGCCACUCUU